RNAcentral lists this ribosomal RNA (468 nucleotides) under uncultured bacterium. RNAcentral describes it as "partial 16S ribosomal RNA". It matches the Rfam family "Bacterial small subunit ribosomal RNA", at positions 28 to 507 of the family's 1533-position model. The record is from RNAcentral.
GACGAACGCUGGCGGCGUGCUUAACACAUGCAAGUCGAACGGAAAGGCCCUGCUUUUGUGGGGUGCUCGAGUGGCGAACGGGUGAGUAACACGUGAGUAACCUGCACUUGUCUUUGGGAUAACUUCAGGAAACUGGGGCUAAUACCGGAUAGGAGCUCCUGCUGCAUGGUGGGGGUUGGAAAGUUUCGGCGGUUGGGGCUGGACUCGCGGCUUAUCAGCUUGUUGGUGGGGUAGUGGCUUACCAAGGCUUCGACGGGUAGCCGGCAUGGGAGGGUGACCGGGCACAUUGGGACUGAGAGACGGCCCAGAAGCCUACGGGAGGCAGCGGUGGGGAAUAUUGCACAGUGGGGGGAAGCCUGAGGCAGCAACGUCGCGUGCGGGAUGACGGGCUUCGGGGUGUAAACCGCUGUCGACGGUGACGAAGCGGGAGUGACGGUAAUGGGUAAAGAAGCACCGGCUAACUACGUG